This 88-nucleotide signal recognition particle RNA is filed under the name bovine gut metagenome. Its description in RNAcentral is "Bacterial small signal recognition particle RNA". It matches the Rfam family "Bacterial small signal recognition particle RNA". From Rfam's summary of the family: The signal recognition particle (SRP) is a universally conserved ribonucleoprotein involved in the co-translational targeting of proteins to membranes. Archaeal SRP consists of a 7S RNA and homologues of the eukaryotic SRP19 and SRP54 proteins. The record is from RNAcentral. RNAcentral also lists the same sequence under 1 other name.
GGGUUCUGUGCAAUAGACCUCUGUGAACGUGUCAGGUCCGGAAGGAAGCAGCAAUAAGCAGAACCGUCUAUGUGACACAGGUCCGCCU